This 1956-nucleotide ribosomal RNA is filed under the name human gut metagenome. RNAcentral describes it as "bacterial LSU rRNA". It matches the Rfam family "Bacterial large subunit ribosomal RNA", at positions 3 to 1984 of the family's 2925-position model. The record is from RNAcentral.
UUAAGUUAAUAAGGGCGCACGGUGGAUGCCUUGGCACUAGAAGCCGAUGAAGGACGUGACUAACGACGAAAUGCUUUGGGGAGCUGUAAGUGAGCAAUGAUCCAGAGAUGUCCGAAUGGGGGAACCCGGCAGGUAAUGCCUGUCACUCAUUACUGUUAAGGUAAUGUAGAGGAAGACGCAGUGAACUGAAACAUCUAAGUAGCUGCAGGAAGAGAAAGCAAAAGCGAUUGCCUUAGUAGCGGCGAGCGAAACGGCAAGAGGGCAAACCGAAGAGUUUACUCUUCGGGGUUGUAGGACUGCAACGUGGACUUAAAGAUUAUAGAAGAACUACCUGGGAAGGUAGGCCAAAGAGAGUAAUAGCCUCGUAUUCGAAAUAGUCUUUAUACCUAGCAGUAUCCUGAGUACGGCGAGACACGAGAAAUCUCGUCGGAAUCUGGGAGGACCAUCUCCCAACCCUAAAUACUCUCUAGUGACCGAUAGUGAACCAGUACCGUGAGGGAAAGGUGAAAAGCACCCCGGGAGGGGAGUGAAAUAGAACCUGAAACCGUGUGCCUACAACAAGUUCGAGCCCGUUAAUGGGUGAGAGCGUGCCUUUUGUAGAAUGAACCGGCGAGUUACGAUAUGAUGCGAGGUUAAGUUGAAGAGACGGAGCCGUAGGGAAACCGAGUCUUAAUAGGGCGCAUUAGUAUCAUGUCGUAGACCCGAAACCAUGUGACCUACCCAUGAGCAGGUUGAAGGUGAGGUAAAACUCACUGGAGGACCGAACCAGGGCACGUUGAAAAGUGCUUGGAUGACUUGUGGGUAGCGGAGAAAUUCCAAACGAACUUGGAGAUAGCUGGUUCUCUCCGAAAUAGCUUUAGGGCUAGCGUCGAUGUUAAGUCUCUUGGAGGUAGAGCACUGUUUGGGUGAGGGGUCCAUCCCGGAUUACCAAUCUCAGAUAAACUCCGAAUGCCAACGAGAUAUAAUCGGCAGUCAGACUGCGAGUGCUAAGAUCCGUAGUCGAAAGGGAAACAGCCCAGACCACCAGCUAAGGUCCCAAAAUAUAUGUUAAGUGGAAAAGGAUGUGGGGUUGCAUAAACAACCAGGAUGUUGGCUUAGAAGCAGCUAUUCAUUCAAAGAGUGCGUAAUAGCUCACUAGUCGAGGGACCUUUCGCCGAAAAUGUACCGGGGCUAAAACAUAUUACCGAAGCUGUGGAUACCUUUAUAGGUAUGGUAGGAGAGCGUUCUAUGUGCGAAGAAGGUGUACCGUGAGGAGUGCUGGAGCGCAUAGAAGUGAGAAUGCCGGUAUGAGUAGCGAAAGACAGGUGAGAAUCCUGUCCACCGUAAGACUAAGGUUUCCAGGGGAAGGCUCGUCCGCCCUGGGUUAGUCGGGACCUAAGGAGAGACCGAAAGGUGUAUCCGAUGGACAACAGGUUGAUAUUCCUGUACUAGAGUAUAUAGUGAUGGAGGGACGCAGUAGGCUAACUAAACCAGACGAUUGGAAGUGUCUGGCCAAGCAGUGAGGUGUGAUAUGAGUCAAAUGCUUAUAUCUAUAACAUUGAGCUGUGAUGGGGAGCGAAGUUUAGUAGCGAAGUUAGUGAUGUCACACUGCCGAGAAAAGCUUCUAGCGUUAAUUAUACUCUACCCGUACCGCAAACCGACACAGGUAGUCGAGGCGAGUAGCCUCAGGUGAGCGAGAGAACUCUCGUUAAGGAACUCGGCAAAAUGGCCCCGUAACUUCGGGAGAAGGGGCGCUGACUUAUGGUCAGCCGCAGUGAAUAGGCCCAAGCAACUGUUUAUCAAAAACACAGCUCUCUGCUAAAUCGUAAGAUGAUGUAUAGGGGGUGACGCCUGCCCGGUGCUGGAAGGUUAAGAGGAGUGCUUAGCAAUAGCGAAGGUAUGAAUUGAAGCCCCAGUAAACGGCGGCCGUAACUAUAACGGUCCUAAGGUAGCGAAAUUCCUUGUCGGGUAAGUUCC